This 501-nucleotide ribosomal RNA is filed under the name uncultured bacterium. Its description in RNAcentral is "bacterial SSU rRNA". It matches the Rfam family "Bacterial small subunit ribosomal RNA", at positions 17 to 518 of the family's 1533-position model. The record is from RNAcentral.
CUAUGGCUCAGGAUGAACGCUAGCUACAGGCUUAACACAUGCAAGUCGAGCGGAAUGCCUCGGCGAUUUAGCGGCAGACGGGUGAGUAACACGUACUCCAACCGUUCCCUUACUCGGGUAUAGGCCUCGGGAAACUGAGAGUAAUCCCCGAUGUGGUGUACGCUUCGACAUGUAAUGCCACACCAAAGAUUAAGUCGGUAAGGGGUGGGGAUGCGUUCCAUUAGGUAGUAGGCGGGGCAACGGCCCACCUAGCCGAUGAUGGAUAGGGGUUCUGAGAGGAAGGUCCCCCACAUUGGAACUGCGACACGGUCCAAACUCCUACGGGAGGCAGCAGUGAGGAAUAUUGGUCAAUGGGCGAGAGCCUGAACCAGCCAAGUAGCGUGCAAGGAUGACGGCCCUAUGGGUUGUAAACUGCUUUUGUACGGGAAUAACGUUGUGCUCGUGAGCGUAAGUGCAUGUACCGUACGAAUAAGGAUCGGCUAACUCCGUGCCAGCAGCCGC